Molecule: non-coding RNA, 1020 nt
Organism: Paramuricea clavata
Lineage: Eukaryota; Metazoa; Cnidaria; Anthozoa; Malacalcyonacea; Plexauridae
Source: the annotation of a GenBank genome assembly
CUACGAUAUAAAACCAAGGUUAAAACAGUUUAAAUAUAAAUAUAUGACUAUAAAUUUUAUACUGUUCGUUCAAUAUAAUUUUUUGUGUAUUUCACUAUUAUUAAAUCCAGUUUCUAUAAAUUAUUUACCCAGGGACAGAAGUUUGACUUCGUCAGGUCGCCCCAUAUUGGGGAAAUUGACAAAAAAUUAAUAGAUCAAAUUGUCAUGCUAUAGGUAGCUGUAUAUUUUAGUGGAUACGCAGUGAGUUUGAGAACGAGGCAUACAGUUAGUUUAGCAUUAUUCAUUAAUAAAUCAAAUUGUUAUGCUAUAUAGGUAGCACUGGCUAGGACCAUGGCGCAAUGCCAUGGCCUCAGCAUUUUGAUGAUGAAUCAUGCCAAUAUCAUGGCGUGGCAGCGGUUACUCGAGUCGACCUUCUGUGUGCCUUAUCUGCGUAUCAUUAAAAUAUAUAGCUGCCUGUAACAUGACAUAAUGAGAAAAGAUCUAUCAAUCUAUUUAUUAUUAAUCUAUUAAGAAUAAAUAUAUAUUAACAAGUUCUGGUCGCGUAUAUAUCCAGCGAAAUAUUAUACUACCAAGUUCUGACCGCGUCAGAUCCAGUGAAAUAGUGGCUACAUGAUAUGAUAUAACUAGUGGACAGGUAUUCUGCAAUUUAGCCCUCUGUCGAAAGUCGUGGGUUUUCUCCGGUUUCCUCCCACAGGGAAAUUUGACAGAGUGGGUUAGGAUAAACACAGUUAAGAGAGUAAAAUCACAAUUGUUGUAAAGAUACACGCGUGAAAACGCUCAGGUUGAUGCAAUACUGAUGAAAACAGGAUUGAACAAUGUUUUGCUGCCCACAUUGUUCACAGUUGUCAACAAUAUUGAACAAUAUUGUUACACACGAUUCAGGCUCAACAAUAUUGUUCAAUAUUGUUGACAAGUGUGAACAACGUGGGCAGCAAAACAUUGUUCAGUCCUGUUGAGCAACGGGCUUGGCGUUUUUUGCCGUGUACAAAACGCCGAGCCUGUAACAAUGUUGUUGAAAAC